UAAUUCCCUUUAUUUAUUUAUUUAUUCUUUUCUUAAAUUGCAUUCUCUUCUAUCUAUUCUGAAAUUCGGGACACGAAGUCUAUUGGGUUGUUAUCUCUGUCCCAAGAGGACUCUUGUUGCCCUCAGCACACGCCAAUUCCCUGCAAAUUCCCCACCUUUUUUACAGGGUUCAGUCCAACUAAACAGGCCAAUGCUUGUUCAAUUUUGACCGGCGUUGUUUCUGAAACAUGGGUUUGAUAUUUUGCAGGCUCAUUGGAGUGCUUACAUGACCUUUUCAAUUGAAGCUUGAGUGAGGAAGAUGAGUAGGAAAAGGAAAAAGAAAAGAAGGUUCGCUGUCCUUCAGGCACUAAAGAAAAUUGGACCAAGAGUUGAAGUAACAGCAGCUUAAAUUUGCAUGUUUGAUGGCAUUUAAUCAGAGGGGAACUCCUCCAAUGCUAUUAUCAUUCAUUACAUGGAAUUUCAUGAAGGGGAGGACUCCAAUACUACUCUUGAGGUCUACUCCUAUUCCUAUAUAGAUCAUAACAAUUUUGCUGUACAAAUUGCUUGUAUUCCGGGCAGCGAAUAUGAGAAAACCUAUAUGAUCCAUCUGCUGAAUAGGUCUCGGAUAUCCUGCCUAUUUGUUGAGACAGGUAGAUUCGAUAAAUACUCUUUACAUUUACUUUUUAAAUUGCUACCGGUGUUCCAACAAAUGGUUGGAAUUAUGCCACUUUGCUGCCAGAUCUUGUCUGGAAAAGAUGAGUGGGCAGGAGAGUGUUUAAUUAUUUCUUUGCGAUGUGACAAUGGCAUGACUUUGCAUGAAAGUGGGUAGAAUAUUAUUUGGCCACGCUUUCCCGCUUUAAAGUAGUCUUUAACC
Molecule: long non-coding RNA, 853 nt
Organism: Corylus avellana
Lineage: Eukaryota; Viridiplantae; Streptophyta; Magnoliopsida; Fagales; Betulaceae
Source: RefSeq, a predicted model, not a curated record